AUGUUCACUGUUAUAUUCAUGUAUCUGUGGCUUUCACUGGGUGACUCCAUGGCAGAUCCAAUAGAGCCACUUUUUACUCAUAAAGUUGUAGAUGAAGGUGAUGAUGUUACUCUGUCCUGCAGCUACAAAGACUUCAGUGGUGACAUAUAUAAUGUGCAGUGGUACAGACAAUAUCCAAAAUCUAAACCUGAGUUCCUCCUUCAUAUUCACCAAAAUGGAAAUCAAAAAUCCAGCACUCCCCCAAGAAUGUCUGCUAAAGUUGAUGAUAAACAAGUGGAUCUGAUCAUCUCCUCUGCUGCUGUAUCAGACUCUGCUCUAUAUUACUGUGCUCUGGUGCCCACAGUGACAGGAAAUCCAGCUGCACUGUACAAAAACGUUCACACAGUUUUGUUACACUUAAGGCAGUUCUGCUGAUGAUUUAGAAAAAUCACAUAUUCACACACUCCUAGAGGCAAUUUGUAAUUAAAUUAGAAUUGCACUAAAGAUAAUGCAUGGCUCCACAUAUAUAACACUGAACAAUAUAUAGUAUUUAAGACCAUUCCAUGAGACCUGCAAUGAC
Hemibagrus wyckioides is the source of this 559-nucleotide non-coding RNA. Lineage: Eukaryota; Metazoa; Chordata; Actinopteri; Siluriformes; Bagridae. The record is from the annotation of a RefSeq genome assembly.